UCCGGUUUAACACCGGCAGUCUUCUCAGAGUGCCCAACUUAAUGGUGGCAACUAAGAACAGGGGUUGCGCUCGUUAUUGGACUUAACCAGACAUCUUACGACACGAGCUGACGACAGCCAUGCAGCACCUAUCUCCGCGCCUCCGAAGAGGACAUGACAUCUCUGCCACUAGCACGGGAUGUUAAGGGUAGGUAAGGUUCUGCGCGUUGCUUCGAAUUAAACCACAUACUCCACCGCUUGUGCGGGCCCCCGUCAAUUCCUUUGAGUUUCGGCCUUGCGACUGUACUCCCCAGGCGGGAUACUUAACGCGUUAGCUGUAGUACUCAGGGGGUUAAUUCCCCAAACACCUAGUAUCCAUAGUUUACGGCGUGGACUAC
This 377-nucleotide unclassified non-coding RNA is filed under the name uncultured Oligoflexaceae bacterium. RNAcentral's name for it is "contains 16S-23S intergenic spacer region". The record is from RNAcentral. Lineage: Bacteria; Pseudomonadati; Bdellovibrionota; Oligoflexia; Oligoflexales; Oligoflexaceae.